GACGAACGCUGGCGGCGUGCUUAACACAUGCAAGUCGAACGGAAAGGCUCCAGCUUGCUGGCGUACUCCAGUGGCGAACGGGUGAGUAACACGUGGGUAAUCUGCCCUGCACUCUGGGAUAAGCCUGGGAAACUGGGUCUAAUACUGGAUAUGACCUUUCUCCUUAUGGGGUUUGGUGGAAAGUUUUUCGGUGUAGGAUGAGCCCGCGGCCUAUCAGCUUGUUGGUGGGGUGAUGGCCUACCAAGGCGACGACGGGUAGCCGGCCUGAGAGGGUGAUCGGCCACAUUGGGACUGAGAUACGGCCCAGACUCCUACGGGAGGCAGCAGUGGGGAAUAUUGCACAAUGGGCGGAAGCCUGAUGCAGCGACGCCGCGUGAGGGAUGACGGCCUUCGGGUUGUAAACCUCUUUCAGCAGGGACGAAGCGUAAGUGACGGUACCUGCAGAAGAAGCACCGGCUAACUAUGUG
This 467-nucleotide ribosomal RNA is filed under the name uncultured bacterium. Its description in RNAcentral is "partial 16S ribosomal RNA". It matches the Rfam family "Bacterial small subunit ribosomal RNA", at positions 28 to 507 of the family's 1533-position model. The record is from RNAcentral.